This 266-nucleotide long non-coding RNA is filed under the name Physcomitrium patens. Its description in RNAcentral is "long non-coding RNA (PPAT_LNC007569)". The record is from RNAcentral. Lineage: Eukaryota; Viridiplantae; Streptophyta; Bryopsida; Funariales; Funariaceae.
AAUUUUGAUGUAACCCAUUGCAACUGAUAGGAGAGGGGCACUUCUGAAUCAGUACCUCCAUUCUUGCAAUUGUAGCCGAGCAAUUGAGUACACCCAGAGUAUUGAGUGUUUAAGACAAGAGUAAGAUUGUUCAGUUGAGAAGUAUUUCGUGAGAAAAUACCGAAAGAGGUGUUUUUGUGUUAGGGUGAGAGGUUUUGUUAUUAGGGUUUCACAAUGGCGAGACGUCUUAAGCGAACAAAAGAGAGGGAUGAUAGGUCAAGGAAUGU